Podarcis lilfordi (Lilford's wall lizard) is the source of this 87-nucleotide non-coding RNA. The record is from the annotation of a GenBank genome assembly. Lineage: Eukaryota; Metazoa; Chordata; Lepidosauria; Squamata; Lacertidae.
UCUAUUGUGUGUGUGUGUGUGUGUGUGUGUGUGUGUAUGUAUAUAUAUAUAUAUAUAUAUAUAUAUAUAUAUACACACACCAAAAGA